Molecule: long non-coding RNA, 1274 nt
Organism: Mya arenaria
Lineage: Eukaryota; Metazoa; Mollusca; Bivalvia; Myida; Myidae
Exons: 2
Source: RefSeq, a predicted model, not a curated record
UUGCAGGUUGGACUAAAUACCUGCUAAACGGGGCAAGGGGGUUGAUUCGGUGUAGUAUGUCUCUCUUAUCAUUGUUUUAACCCAACUGAAAUUGUCUUAAAAUUGCCAAUAUUUCAAAUUCAAGCUCGAAAUUGAUAAAAAUACACCCAUAAGGCUUUAUAUUAUUAAAAGAGCUAAAUGAACGGGUCAUUAAUGAGCAACUGAUCAUUCACAUUGAUAUAUUUUUUAUUCUCUCCUGACAGCUUUCAGAACAACAUAUAUAUGUUAAAAUACACUGUGAGGGUGAUGGAUGACCCUUGGAAAAAGCCCGUGAUGAGAUCAAAUAUGUCCGUCCAGCUUUAAUGAUCAUCCCAAAAGCAUCUGACUGCCUGCCCUUUGAUCGUCAUAGACAAGCUUAAUGAAAAAAGGAGCUUUUAUUUCCAGUUCACCAGUUUCUGUUUAAGUUUGCUUAUGUUAUGUAUGUUUGUUAUUCAUGUCAGAGAAUAGCCCAUUGAACUUAUCUUUCUUGUUAUCAUAAACCCGACUUUAAAUAAAGUUUCUUGUAUGAUUGAUCUGAUUUUAUACCUUAAUGUUUACCCCAUGUCACGUGCCGAUUAAGUUAAGUUUAUAUGAAUUUAAUUGAUGUGUAUGCGAUUGGAUCUUAAGUGCAAAUGGUCUCUUUCAGGAAGGCCAAUACGCCCAGAUGUUCAACACUGAAUCAUUGAACUGGAAGUAACAUGAGAAAUGCCUGCAACAAUGUUUAUCCAGCUUGUCAGUUAUGCCAAGACUUUUCGCAAUGAAAAAGGCUUUUGCUGGAAGGAUUUUACCCUGUUAUGUUCAGCAUUUAUAAUUAUAACUGUAGUUUAUUUCCGUCAAAGGAUUGCUUCUAACGACUUCCUCUGUAUUAAAAAAGAUUUAAAAUUUACAAUAUUCUAUACCUGUGUUACACACUUGAACGUGGAUUAUCACACUAUGUUAACAGAACUAUUGAGCAUAUUCUUUGAUUUCCAUGUAUUAUGAACGAGAAUGACCAAACACAACUAAUGAAUGGUAGAAAAUUUGUCAUGAUAAUAUGUAAAACACUGUAAAUUUUACCUGGCUUGUACUUAAUAUUAAUUUAACUGUUAAUUCAUCUGAAUAUGUAUCUUGUUUGAAUAAGUGAGAUGUAUUUAGAACGCUUAUAGGCUGAUGAACGCCCUCUUAUUAUCCUGUAUUACAUAUGUAAUCUGCAUUACAUGUAUUUACAACUUUUCUCAUACUGUAUGUUUUGCGUGAACAAUAAAACUGUUACAGCA